UCUGGUCUCUCUCUCUCUCUCCCUCCCCCCGCCCCCUCGCUCUCCCUCUUUCUCUCAGAGUUUUCUUCUUUGUUUUGAAUCUGGAAUUUUUCCAGAGUGUUAAUCACAGAGAAGUUCUUGUAAACUAGUCUUGCUACAGUAAUUGAUCGGCCUAAAAUAUUGGCUAUCUAUUGUAGGUAGUUUUUGAUAGUUUGAGAGAAGAAGGUUGUGUCCAAUUUGGAGAUCCUUUGUGAAUCGAUAAACGAACUGAUUGUACUGAGUUGUUCUCUAUAUUUUGCUCUCUCUAGAAGGUAGUUUGUACAUAAUGGAUUAGGUUUAUCCUAAGCCCCUAGAUUAAGCCAUUUUCGAGUAAACUGGGUGAACAUUUUGUUGUGUUCUUUACAUUUUCGUACCGUAUGUUUGUUUUUGGUUGAUAUCGAUUAUGGUCGUUGGGUAAUAAUACCCAACAAAUCUAGUAUCAGAGCCAGUUCUCGAGGCUUCUCGGUAAAACAUCUUUGUUCUGAGAAUAAUCUUUUGAAUUGAUCAAAGAUUUGUAAGAUCCCAGAUUUUUUGAAGUUCUUGGUCUUUUUUAAAUUUAUUUUGUACUGCACUCUAUUCAAAUCUUUACAAAUUUGAACAGAUCGUUUAAGGCUUCUAACAUCUCUUUUUAAGUGUGAAGGUAAAGGGAUUUUGGUUUCUUCUUUCUUGGCCAGUUUUCUUGGACAAUACUUGGCCAGUAAAAAGGUGCGUUUUCUAAAUUUAAUUCUGUUGUUUAACAGUGCUGGGUGAGACCGUUCUUUAAACUUUCUCUGGAAAAUCCUAGUUUCAUAUUAACCCGCUCAUAGAAAUGUGGACUAAUUAAUGUAAAUUGAGUACUCUGUAUUAUUGAUUAAUCUUACAUAGGAGCAUGUGUAGGACCCGAAGCGUUAAAAAAUCAAUCUUUCUUUGGCUCAAUUCCUUUGAUUUAACCAAAACAAUUUGUAAAUGAGAAAACUUUUGAGUUUGAAAUAUAUAAAAAUAGCUAGA
Molecule: long non-coding RNA, 1005 nt
Filed under: Olea europaea subsp. europaea
Lineage: Eukaryota; Viridiplantae; Streptophyta; Magnoliopsida; Lamiales; Oleaceae
Source: RNAcentral